This is a long non-coding RNA of Lucilia sericata (common green bottle fly), 1272 nucleotides long. RefSeq lists it as uncharacterized. The transcript has 3 exons. The record is from RefSeq and is a predicted model, not a curated record. NCBI's taxonomy places the organism in Eukaryota, Metazoa, Arthropoda, Insecta, Diptera, Calliphoridae.
UUCUUUUUAAAUCCAGCAGUGAAAUCACACACAUCAGCAAAUAUUUGUGGGAAAAGUGAUAAUAGUAAGAAAACGUGGUUUUCUCUGAAAAUUCUGAAUUGUAUAAAGUUUAAAAAGACAAAAUAUACUAAAUAAUAAAGUUUAAAAGAUAAUUUGCUGUAUAUAAUUUUACAAAUUUUUACAAUUUUAAAAGAAAUUUCUAAAUCUCUAUAUUCGAAAGGAAAAUUACAUCUUUUCUUACAAUUAUAAACAGAAAGGAUUAUUAUACUAUACUCUCGAGUAAAUAUUAUUUAUCUUGGACCAAGAUUUGGGACAACGUGUCCCAAACACCAGUCACUUACUCGAGAGUAACCAGUUUGAGUGUUGCCUCAAAAUCUGUUGAUGUGGCCACCAACUAGUAGUUUUACAUGCCUUGAAUCUGUUCCGCAUGGACAACAAUGUGCUUAGUAAUAAUUCAGCAAAACCAAAAUUUCAUUGAUCAAAACGGGAUUGGACACAAAUCAUAGAAGUAUUCAACAGAAAUCCAGAAAAUAAUACACCUUACAAUGAUUCAGUCUAACCCAUAAACAAAUUUCCUAAUAUUCUAACUUAGAGACUCAAAAUUACCAAUUAACAACAGAAUAAAUUUCUGUCCAAAUUACAACUAACUUCUAAAAUUAUAAUUAUGGCUUAUAAACUAUCUUAAGAAGUUCAAAUUUUAACAAUUCAUUAUUAAAAUCACAUCUUAAAAUCCAGAAAAAUUAAAUUUAUAUCAAUAUAUUAACAACUAUUUAAUAUUAACAACAAUUAAACUUAGCUUAAUGAUCGUAUCUAAUAUUUGAAAUAAUAUGUCCAUUAAAGUUUAAAAACAAAUACCGAACAAUAUGAUCAUUUGUUAUUUCAAAUAUUAAAAACGACUAAAUCAAAAUUCUAUAUACUAACACCUAUAUUAAUAUUUUCUAAAUUAAAACAUGAUCUGAUGAAAUUUUAACAACUAUAAAUUUACGUAUAAUUAAAUUUUCCUAACUAUUAAAUAAUUUAACUAAGUAAAAAUUAAUACUAAAAUUAACAUCUUAAUAUAAACAUUACAAAUACGGUGUAAAUCGACUCCAAAAUCAUCAAGCAGAAGGCCUUCAGCAUUGGAAUCAAGACUCUACUUUAAAUAUUCAUAAAGCUAAACUAUAAGAACCUGCAGCAGAAAAAUUUUGUGCGGCAAUUAAAAGAUUUUUGUACAGCUAUACAGUUAGAUCUCACGAUCCACUUGUUUGCAUUAUAACAGUGAUGGGCAACUGA